This 451-nucleotide ribosomal RNA is filed under the name uncultured bacterium. RNAcentral describes it as "bacterial SSU rRNA". It matches the Rfam family "Bacterial small subunit ribosomal RNA", at positions 28 to 507 of the family's 1533-position model. The record is from RNAcentral.
GAUGAACGCUGGCGACGUGCCUAACACAUGCAAGUCGAGCGAUUCUCUUCGGAGAAGAGCGGCGGACGGGUGAGUAACGCGUGGGUAACCUGCCCUGUACACACGGAUAACAUACCGAAAGGUAUGCUAAUACGAGAUGAUAUGCUUUUAUCGCAUGGUAGAAGUAUCAAAGCUCCGGCGGUACAGGAUGGACCCGCGUCUGAUUAGCUAGUUGGCAAGGUAACGGCUUACCAAGGCGACGAUCAGUAGCCGACCUGAGAGGGUGAUCGGCCACAUUGGAACUGAGACACGGUCCAAACUCCUACGGGAGGCAGCAGUGGGGAAUAUUGCACAAUGGGCGAAAGCCUGAUGCAGCAACGCCGCGUGAGCGAUGAAGGCCUUCGGUCGUAAGCUCUGUCCUCAAGGAAGAUAAUGACGGUACUUGAGGAGGAAGCCCCGGCGUAACUACGUG